AGGGAGACACAAUCCAAAAUACAAAUCAUCUAUGGAUAGCCCUGCCAAGCCACACCCAACCCCGGGUGAGGAGUACGGAAAACUCUGAGGACCCCUAUCCUACAACCCUGAUACUAGACCUCCAGGCUUUCCUAUCGAGGGUCAUGUCCUCGGAAACCCGCAUUCUAGCCAUGUCAUGCCUAAUCACCUCUCCCCAAUACCUCUUAGGCCUCCCUCUGCCUCG
RNAcentral lists this long non-coding RNA (223 nucleotides) under Nicotiana benthamiana. RNAcentral describes it as "long non-coding RNA (NBEN_LNC007881)". The record is from RNAcentral. Lineage: Eukaryota; Viridiplantae; Streptophyta; Magnoliopsida; Solanales; Solanaceae.